UACGAAGGGUGCAAGCGUUACUCGGAAUUACUGGGCGUAAAGCGUGCGUAGGUGGUUUGUUAAGUCUGAUGUGAAAGCCCUGGGCUCAACCUGGGAAUUGCAUUGGAUACUGGCAGGCUAGAGUGCGGUAGAGGGUAGUGGAAUUCCCGGUGUAGCAGUGAGAUGCGUAGAUAUCAGGAGGAAUACCGAUGGCGAAGGCAGGUCUCUGGGCUGACACGUGACGCUCAUGCACGAAAGCGUGGGGAGCAAA
Molecule: ribosomal RNA, 250 nt
Filed under: uncultured bacterium
Lineage: Bacteria
Description: partial 16S ribosomal RNA
Rfam family: Bacterial small subunit ribosomal RNA
Source: RNAcentral